RNAcentral lists this ribosomal RNA (429 nucleotides) under uncultured bacterium. RNAcentral describes it as "partial 16S ribosomal RNA". It matches the Rfam family "Bacterial small subunit ribosomal RNA", at positions 356 to 773 of the family's 1533-position model. The record is from RNAcentral.
UGGGAAUUUUGGACGAAUUGGGCGAAAGCCUGAAUCCAGCAAUGCCGCGUGUGUGAAGAAGGCCUUCGGGUUGUAAAGCACUUUUGUCCGGAAAGAAAUCCUUGGCUCUAAUACAGUCGGGGGAGUGACGGUACCGGAAGAAUAAGCACCGGCUAACUACGUGCCAGCAGCCGCGGUAAUACGUAGGGUGCAAGCGUUAAUCGGAAUUACUGGGCGUAAAGCGUGCGCAGGCGGUUUGCUAAGACCGAUGUGAAAUCCCCGGGCUCAACCUGGGAACUGCAUUGGUGACUGGCAGGGCUAGAGUAUGGCAGAGGGGGGUAGAAUUCCACGUGUAGCAGUGAAAUGCGUAGAGAUGUGGAGGAAUACCGAUGGCGAAGGCAGCCCCCUGGCAAGUACUGACGCUCAUGCACGAAAGCGUGGGGAGCAAAC